UUUCUCAGAACUUCUUUACUUACGUAGUGAUGCACUGACCACCAGUUCUUCAUUACAGCUUCUCGUCUUCAGAAUGCCUUCUCUCCCUCAACUCAUUUUCAUUCUCCUGUGUUGUUUCCUGAGACAAACUGUAUCUGAAGGACAGCUACAGAAACCAAAUCUCAGUGUCGAUUAUUCCGAUAUGGAGGUCAACGUGGUCUGUGAAACACAUCAGCGGAAGGGUAAUAAUAUCACCUGUUACUCGUACAGUGGAGAUACAAAGGAUCCAUACAAUACUACGUGGAGCAAAACCGGGGUCUGUCACUUUGAUGCGAAGAUGAGUGAUCUGCAGAGAGUUUUGCAGUCUGUGAGAAGCAGGGAGGUGAGCUGUGACUACACUGUGGGCUUGGACCCACAGUCUCGCUCUCCACGCAGUGACAGUCAGUCCAUAAAAGGUGAGUCACU
Long non-coding RNA from Megalops cyprinoides (Indo-Pacific tarpon), 444 nucleotides. RefSeq lists it as uncharacterized. The record is from RefSeq and is a predicted model, not a curated record. NCBI's taxonomy places the organism in Eukaryota, Metazoa, Chordata, Actinopteri, Elopiformes, Megalopidae. The transcript has 3 exons.